RNAcentral lists this ribosomal RNA (695 nucleotides) under Salmonella enterica. RNAcentral describes it as "partial 23S ribosomal RNA". It matches the Rfam family "Bacterial large subunit ribosomal RNA", at positions 2248 to 2925 of the family's 2925-position model. Lineage: Bacteria; Pseudomonadati; Pseudomonadota; Gammaproteobacteria; Enterobacterales; Enterobacteriaceae. The record is from RNAcentral.
CGGACAGUGUCUGGUGGGUAGUUUGACUGGGGCGGUCUCCUCCUAAAGAGUAACGGAGGAGCACGAAGGUUGGCUAAUCCUGGUCGGACAUCAGGAGGUUAGUGCAAUGGCAUAAGCCAGCUUGACUGCGAGCGUGACGGCGCGAGCAGGUGCGAAAGCAGGUCAUAGUGAUCCGGUGGUUCUGAAUGGAAGGGCCAUCGCUCAACGGAUAAAAGGUACUCCGGGGAUAACAGGCUGAUACCGCCCAAGAGUUCAUAUCGACGGCGGUGUUUGGCACCUCGAUGUCGGCUCAUCACAUCCUGGGGCUGAAGUAGGUCCCAAGGGUAUGGCUGUUCGCCAUUUAAAGUGGUACGCGAGCUGGGUUUAGAACGUCGUGAGACAGUUCGGUCCCUAUCUGCCGUGGGCGCUGGAGAACUGAGGGGGGCUGCUCCUAGUACGAGAGGACCGGAGUGGACGCAUCACUGGUGUUCGGGUUGUCAUGCCAAUGGCACUGCCCGGUAGCUAAAUGCGGAAGAGAUAAGUGCUGAAAGCAUCUAAGCACGAAACUUGCCCCGAGAUGAGUUCUCCCUGAGACUUUAAGUCUCCUGAAGGAACGUUGAAGACGACGACGUUGAUAGGCCGGGUGUGUAAGCGCAGCGAUGCGUUGAGCUAACCGGUACUAAUGAACCGUGAGGCUUAACCUUACAACGCCGAAG